Long non-coding RNA from Myotis lucifugus (little brown bat), 942 nucleotides. RefSeq lists it as uncharacterized. NCBI's taxonomy places the organism in Eukaryota, Metazoa, Chordata, Mammalia, Chiroptera, Vespertilionidae. The transcript is spliced from 2 exons. The record is from RefSeq and is a predicted model, not a curated record.
CGUCACCACCUUCUAGUUUCCUUUCAAUGUGCAGGAAUCCAUGCACUGGGCUUCUAGUUAUCAUAUAACUUGGGAGGUUUCUUCACUCUUAUUUCUGUUGAUACGUCAUUGUAGUUUGGCAACUGAGACAGCCAAAAGCUUCAGGUUCUCCAGGGAUCAUGGAGAGGAGUUGUUACCUUUGCUUGAAAAGAAAUGGACUAACAGGCACGCCUUCCCUUCCUGGCCAGCUCUUGUUCCCGGAUACCCACCUGCGACACGAUGGCAAAGCAGAAGCCACUUACUAGCUAUGUGUUUUGGGGAAAGUUACUUAACCUCUGCACCUCAGUUUCCUCAUCUGUAGCCCAGGGGAGGGAACCCUGAGCCAAGAGCACCCAGCUGAGCCACACAGAAAUGGUGAGAUGUUGUUGUAUUAAGCCACUAAGUUUUGGGGUACUUUGUUACAUAACAACAGCUGUAUCACUUCUUAGAAAGAUGAAAUAAUAACAUCCAGUUCCUCCUCAGUAUUUUUAAUGGUUUUCUAAUUACUAUGUAAUCAAGCCUUUCCAGGUGUCAGACUUUUCGCCAGGUCAGCACCAAUGGUCAGGGGGCUGCCUCUCCGUCCGUCAGUGUGGGUAGCCCUUGAGGACAAUGUGCCAUUUCUUCUGGGUCUUCCACUCACCCACCUGGUGUGGGAUCCAGAAACCCGAGCUGUGGUGGAGUGACAGCUGCUCCUGGAGAGGCCGGCUCCAGAUUUCCUCUCUGCUCUAAUGAUAACCACCUCUCCAGGGAUCAGUGCCCUGUGUUCUCAUCAAGCACUAAAACAGAAAGCAAACUUGAACAAAUCCAGUCAUUCCUGAAUGUAUCAUCAUUAGGACCUGUAAGUAAAAUAACCAUUUUGAUUUCUUUUGAGCUCUGUUUUGUACUGUUUUUGUAUUUUCAUGAUUUAAAAGAAACUUUUAACUU